Molecule: long non-coding RNA, 406 nt
Filed under: Brachypodium distachyon (stiff brome)
Lineage: Eukaryota; Viridiplantae; Streptophyta; Magnoliopsida; Poales; Poaceae
Description: long non-coding RNA (BDIS_LNC004549)
Source: RNAcentral
AGACCAUUUUCGGAGUGUUUUUCUUUUACUCCUGGCCCAAGUUGGUAGGACGACAUGCAGCUGGAACAGUUGUUGGACUAAAUAGUUGGAAAGCAUUAUUUCCUCGACUGUUUUUUUUUCUGUCCAUCAUGGUCCAUGAAAUGUCGGCAAGGAUAGCUAAUUCUUUUCGCCCAUGAUAGCGCUUGUUGGACCAAAUCUGCUGUCCAAAUCAGCAAUGCUCUUUUGGAAACACACGAUUACUCAUGUAGGACCGUCUUCUUUCUGAUCUCUCUCUCAUAAAAAAAUAAAAAAUGUAGGACCUCCUAUGUUUCGGCUGAUACGAAAGCUCAGUUUAGCAAUUUUUUGGCACAGGGUUGCUCUAGUUUGGGCCAAAUUUGCCGUCCCAACGCUACUACAAAACACAUCC